GAUGAACGCUGGCGGCGUGCCUAAUACAUGCAAGUCGAGCGAACGGACGAGAAGCUUGCUUCUCUGAUGUUAGCGGCGGACGGGUGAGUAACACGUGGAUAACCUACCUAUAAGACUGGGAUAACUUCGGGAAACCGGAGCUAAUACCGGAUAAUAUUUUGAACCGCAUGGUUCAAAAGUGAAAGACGGUCUUGCUGUCACUUAUAGAUGGAUCCGCGCUGCAUUGGCUAGUUGGUAAGGUAACGGCUUACCAAGGCAACGAUGCAUAGCCGACCUGAGAGGGUGAUCGGCCACACUGGAACUGAGACACGGUCCAGACUCCUACGGGAGGCAGCAGUAGGGAAUCUUCCGCAAUGGGCGAAAGCCUGACGGAGCAACGCCGCGUGAGUGAUGAAGGUCUUCGGAUCGUAAAACUCUGUUAUUAGGGAAGAACAUAUGUGUAAGUAACUGUACACAUCUUGACGGUACCUAAUCAGAAAGCCACGGCUAACUACGUG
RNAcentral lists this ribosomal RNA (497 nucleotides) under uncultured bacterium. RNAcentral's name for it is "partial 16S ribosomal RNA". It matches the Rfam family "Bacterial small subunit ribosomal RNA", at positions 28 to 507 of the family's 1533-position model. The record is from RNAcentral.